AUUGAACGCUGGCGGCAGGCUUAACACAUGCCAGUCGAGCGGUAGCACAGGGGAGCUUGCUCCCUGGGUGACGAGCGGCGGACGGGUGAGUAAUGUCUGGGAAACUGCCUGAUGGAGGGGGAUAACUACUGGAAACGGUAGCUAAUACCGCAUAACGUCGCAAGACCAAAGAGGGGGACCUUCGGGCCUCUUGCCAUCAGAUGUGCCCAGAUGGGAUUAGCUAGUAGGUGGGGUAAUGGCUCACCUAGGCGACGAUCCCUAGCUGGUCUGAGAGGAUGACCAGCCACACUGGAACUGAGACACGGUCCAGACUCCUACGGGAGGCAGCAGUGGGGAAUAUUGCACAAUGGGCGCAAGCCUGAUGCAGCCAUGCCGCGUGUGUGAAGAAGGCCUUCGGGUUGUAAAGCACUUUCAGCGAGGAGGAAGGUGGUGAGCUUAAUACGUUCAUCAAUUGACGUUACUCGCAGAAGAAGCACCGGCUAACUCCGUG
RNAcentral lists this ribosomal RNA (490 nucleotides) under uncultured bacterium. RNAcentral's name for it is "partial 16S ribosomal RNA". It matches the Rfam family "Bacterial small subunit ribosomal RNA", at positions 30 to 507 of the family's 1533-position model. The record is from RNAcentral.